GACGAACGCUGGCGGCGUGCUUAACACAUGCAAGUCGAACGGAAAGGCCCUGCUUUUGUGGGGUGCUCGAGUGGCGAACGGGUGAGUAACACGUGUGUAACCUGCCCUUGACUUUGGGAUAACUCCAGGAAACUGGGGAUAAUAUCGGAUAGGAGCUCCUGAUGCAUGGUGGGGGUUGGAAAGUUUCGGCGGUUGGGGAUGGACUCGCGGCUUAUCAGCUUGUUGGUGGGGUAGUGGCUUACCAAGGCUUUGACGGGUAGCCGGCCUGAGAGGGGGACCGGCCACAUUGGGACUGAGAUACGGCCCAGACUCCUACGGGAGGCAGCAGUGGGGAAUAUUGCACAAUGGGCGGAAGCCUGAUGCAGCAACGCCGCGUGCGGGAUGACGGCCUUCGGGUUGUAAACCGCUUUCGCCUGUGACGAAGCGUGAUUGACGGUAAUGGGUAAGAAAGCACCGGCUAACUACGUG
Molecule: ribosomal RNA, 468 nt
Filed under: uncultured bacterium
Lineage: Bacteria
Description: partial 16S ribosomal RNA
Rfam family: Bacterial small subunit ribosomal RNA
Source: RNAcentral